UGUGGUUCUGCAGCUUAACACUAAAAUUGGAAGGAUGUGGAGAGGAUUAUCAUGGUCUCUGGGCAAGGAUGACAAGAAAUUCAUGCAGCAUCCCCUAUUUUU
Molecule: small nuclear RNA, 102 nt
Organism: Marmota flaviventris (yellow-bellied marmot)
Lineage: Eukaryota; Metazoa; Chordata; Mammalia; Rodentia; Sciuridae
Source: RefSeq, a predicted model, not a curated record